This 840-nucleotide ribosomal RNA is filed under the name Lucanus wuyishanensis. RNAcentral describes it as "partial large subunit ribosomal RNA". The stretch from base 376 to 565 matches the Rfam family "Archaeal large subunit ribosomal RNA", at positions 1802 to 2101 of the family's 2987-position model. The record is from RNAcentral. Lineage: Eukaryota; Metazoa; Arthropoda; Insecta; Coleoptera; Lucanidae.
AUAUUUUAAUGUGGAAAAAUUAUUUAUAAUUAAUUUUUUGUAAUUAUACGUUAGUCGUUCUUUAUGAUAUCUAGUUUUCUAAGAAAUUAAUUUAAUUAACUAGAGUAAGAUGUAUUUAUUUGAGAAAUAAAUUUUUAUGUUUAGAAUAUUCAGAGGGAUAAGCUUUUGGGUAGAUUUUUAUAAUUAUAGUGGUUUAGAUAAUGAAUAGGAUUAGAAGUUUCCAUUUUUAGUGUGUUUUAACUAGGUUUUUAAAGAGAUUAAUUUUUUUUUGUUUAAAUGUUUUAUUAGGAUAAAGGCUUGAAUUUAGGGGUUUUGGAAUAAUGAUGAGAUUAGUAGAAUGGAGUGUAUAAUGUGAGUAUGGGGUUUAAUUUUAUUUUAAGGAAUUAGGCAAAUUUCUUUUCGCCUGUUUAAUAAAAACAUGGCUUUUUGAUGAUGAUUUAAGGUCAGGCCUGCCCAAUGAUAAUUUAAAUGGCUGCGGUAUACUGACCGUGCAAAGGUAGCAUAAUCAUUAGUUUUUUUAUUGGAAGCUGGAAUGAAGGGUUUAACGAGAAAGAAGCUGUCUUAAUUUAAUUAUUUGAAUUUUAUAUUUGAGUGAGAAAGCUUAAAUGGAUUUGAGGGACGAGAAGACCCUAUAGAAUUUAAUAGUUUAAAUGUUUUGGGAGUUUAGAUUGGGUUAACUGGGAUAUAGUAUAAUUAUUUUGUUGGGGUGAUAGGAAAACUUGAUUAACUUUUUUUUUUACUUGUCAUUGAUAAAUGAAUAUAUGAUCCAUUAUGAGUGAUUAUAAGAAUAAAUUACCUUAGGGAUAACAGCGUUAUUAGUCUGGAGAGUUCAAAUCGAUA